Molecule: ribosomal RNA, 676 nt
Filed under: Escherichia coli
Lineage: Bacteria; Pseudomonadati; Pseudomonadota; Gammaproteobacteria; Enterobacterales; Enterobacteriaceae
Description: bacterial SSU rRNA
Rfam family: Bacterial small subunit ribosomal RNA
Source: RNAcentral
GCGUUAAGUCGACCGCCUGGGGAGUACGGCCGCAAGGUUAAAACUCAAAUGAAUUGACGGGGGCCCGCACAAGCGGUGGAGCAUGUGGUUUAAUUCGAUGCAACGCGAAGAACCUUACCUGGUCUUGACAUCCACGGAAGUUUUCAGAGAUGAGAAUGUGCCUUCGGGAACCGUGAGACAGGUGCUGCAUGGCUGUCGUCAGCUCGUGUUGUGAAAUGUUGGGUUAAGUCCCGCAACGAGCGCAACCCUUAUCCUUUGUUGCCAGCGGUCCGGCCGGGAACUCAAAGGAGACUGCCAGUGAUAAACUGGAGGAAGGUGGGGAUGACGUCAAGUCAUCAUGGCCCUUACGACUAGGGCUACACACGUGCUACAAUGGCGCAUACAAAGAGAAGCGACCUCGCGAGAGCAAGCGGACCUCAUAAAGUGCGUCGUAGUCCGGAUUGGAGUCUGCAACUCGACUCCAUGAAGUCGGAAUCGCUAGUAAUCGUGGAUCAGAAUGCCACGGUGAAUACGUUCCCGGGCCUUGUACACACCGCCCGUCACACCAUGGGAGUGGGUUGCAAAAGAAGUAGGUAGCUUAACCUUCGGGAGGGCGCUUACCACUUUGUGAUUCAUGACUGGGGUGAAGUCGUAACAAGGUAACCGUAGGGGAACCUGCGGUUGGAUCACCUCCUUA